GCGCCAUUAGCUCAACUGGAAAGAGCAAUAGGCUUCUAAGCUAUCCGUUUCAGGUCCGAAUCCUGAAUGGUGCGCCA
RNAcentral lists this transfer RNA (77 nucleotides) under Klebsiella pneumoniae. Its description in RNAcentral is "tRNA-Arg(tct)". It matches the Rfam family "tRNA". Rfam says of the family: Transfer RNA (tRNA) molecules are approximately 80 nucleotides in length. The record is from RNAcentral. Lineage: Bacteria; Pseudomonadati; Pseudomonadota; Gammaproteobacteria; Enterobacterales; Enterobacteriaceae. RNAcentral also lists the same sequence under 3 other names.